UACGGGGGGGGCAAGCGUUGUUCGGAAUUACUGGGCGUAAAGGGCUCGUAGGCGGCCAACUAAGUCAGACGUGAAAUCCCUCGGCUUAACCGGGGAACUGCAUCUGAUACUGGAUGGCUUGAGUUCGGGAGAGGGAUGCGGAAUUCCAGGUGUAGCGGUGAAAUGCGUAGAUAUCUGGAGGAAUACCGGUGGCGAAGGCGGCAUCCUGGACCGGCAUUGACGCUGAGUGAGCGAAAGCCAGGGGAGCAAACGGG
This 254-nucleotide ribosomal RNA is filed under the name uncultured bacterium. RNAcentral's name for it is "partial 16S ribosomal RNA". It matches the Rfam family "Bacterial small subunit ribosomal RNA", at positions 524 to 776 of the family's 1533-position model. The record is from RNAcentral.